GCGGGAGCCCGCGCUCCCGGGCGCAUCUGCAGCCGCCCAGCCGCGGCUCCGGACCCAGGCAUCCCUGCGCUGUCUGGGGCCCGGGGGAAGCCCCCUGCCCCCGCAGGCUCGGAAGUGCCUGCUCCUGCUCCCUGGCCACUCCGGCUCCCAGCUCCCGGCGCCCUCUCCGCGGCGGAGAAAGUUGUGGACGUGUCCCGAUAGUCGAGCCCGGGCGCUGUCGCGACCGGGCCGGGUGUGCGCGCGCUCGGGGCGGCGCUGACACGCCAGCCCCCCAUCGCCUCGGUCCCCUCCGGAAACUGCUUCUGAAGCUGAAACUUUGGGCGCCUACCAGCGCGGGCGGGAGCCUAGGGGGCGGAGGGCGGCUUGGUGCGGGCCUGCGGGCGCCCCUCGGCGCGGACAGCCGGGACGCCGCGGACGGCAUGUGACGGUCCCGG
This 434-nucleotide long non-coding RNA is filed under the name Homo sapiens (human). RNAcentral describes it as "HSALNT0003494". The record is from RNAcentral. Lineage: Eukaryota; Metazoa; Chordata; Mammalia; Primates; Hominidae.